UACACUCCUACGGGAGGCAGCAGUGGGGAAUUUUGGACAAUGGGCGCAAGCCUGAUCCAGCCAUGCCGCGUGCGGGAAGAAGGCCUUCGGGUUGUAAACCGCUUUUGUCAGGGAAGAAAAGGUUCUGGCUAAUACCUGGGACUCAUGACGGUACCUGAAGAAUAAGUACCGGCUAACUACGUGCCAGCAGCCGCGGUAAUACGUAGGGUGCAAGCGUUAAUCGGAAUUACUGGGCGUAAAGCGUGCGCAGGCGGUUAUGCAAGACAGAGGUGAAAUCCCCGGGCUCAACCUGGGAACUGCCUUUGUGACUGCAUGGCUAGAGUACGGGAGAGGGGGAUGGAAUUCCGCGGGUAGCAGUGAAAUGCGUAGAUAUGCGGAGGAACACCGAUGGCGAAGGCAAUCCCCUGGACCUGUACUGACGCUCAUGCACGAAAGCGUGGGGAGCAAACAGGAUUAGAUACCCUGGUAGUCCCA
Molecule: ribosomal RNA, 474 nt
Filed under: uncultured organism
Description: partial 16S ribosomal RNA
Rfam family: Bacterial small subunit ribosomal RNA
Source: RNAcentral